GGCGGACGGGUGAGGAAUACAUCGGAAUCUACUCUGUCGUGGGGGAUAACGUAGGGAAACUUACGCUAAUACCGCAUACGACCUACGGGUGAAAGCAGGGGAUCUUCGGACCUUGCGCGAUUGAAUGAGCCGAUGUCGGAUUAGCUAGUUGGCGGGGUAAAGGCCCACCAAGGCGACGAUCCGUAGCUGGUCUGAGAGGAUGAUCAGCACACUGGAACUGAGACACGGUCCAGACUCCUACGGGAGGCAGCAGU
Molecule: ribosomal RNA, 254 nt
Filed under: uncultured Stenotrophomonas sp.
Lineage: Bacteria; Pseudomonadati; Pseudomonadota; Gammaproteobacteria; Lysobacterales; Lysobacteraceae
Description: partial 16S ribosomal RNA
Rfam family: Bacterial small subunit ribosomal RNA
Source: RNAcentral